UCAGAUUGAACGCUGGCGGCAGGCUUAACACAUGCAAGUCGAGCGGUAACNGGUCCUUCNGGAUGCUGACGAGCGGCGGACGGGUGAGUAAUGCUUAGGAAUCUGCCUGGUAGUGGGGGAUAGCCCGGGGAAACCCGGAUUAAUACCGCGUACGCCCUUCGGGGGAGAGCAGGGGAUCUUCGGACCUUGCGCUAUCAGAUGAGCCUAAGCCGGAUUAGCUAGUUGGUAGGGUAAAGGCCUACCAAGGCGACGAUCCGUAGCUGGUCUGAGAGGAUGAUCAGCCACAUCGGGACUGAGACACGGCCCGAACUCCUACGGGAGGCAGCAGUGGGGAAUAUUGGACAAUGGGGGCAACCCUGAUCCAGCCAUGCCGCGUGUGUGAAGAAGGCUUUCGGGUUGUAAAGCACUUUCAGUGAGGAGGAAGGCCUUAAGGUUAAUACCCUUGAGGAUUGACGUUACUCACAGAAGAAGCACCGGCUAACUCCGUGCCAGCAGCCGCGGUAAUACGGAGGGUGCAAGCGUUAAUCGGAAUUACUGGGCGUAAAGCGCGCGUAGGUGGUUUGAUAAGCGAGAUGUG
This 577-nucleotide ribosomal RNA is filed under the name uncultured bacterium. RNAcentral describes it as "bacterial SSU rRNA". It matches the Rfam family "Bacterial small subunit ribosomal RNA", at positions 24 to 596 of the family's 1533-position model. The record is from RNAcentral.